GAAACAAAAAAAUUGGUCUGCUAUCAGAUGGUACAUUUAUUUCAACACAAAAUGCAAGAAAGCUUCACGGUCUCAUGAAGAGGGCAUGCUUUUGAAUUAAUUCCGACUGAUCUGAAAUUCACUUAAAUUUUGUUGUUGAUUGAUCUGCAGUUAUUUUUUAUUUGUAGAGAAGUUCCGCAUUUGAGAAGCCGGAGAAGAGUAUCUCACUAAGUACAGAUUCGAGUGACUUUGCCAACUUGCUGACAUGGGGUCUCGUUCAGAGCACAAGCUUCACCUGAAUAACCUUCUUUCAGUUAGUAAAACACUCAGCAAAGCAGCAGACUCCGUCGAUGUCGUGCUCGUUUACCAGCCAUGCAUUCCAGACAAGUUGAAUGCCGGUGGCAACAGGCAUUCAACGGCACCCUCGUCGGCGCUCUACUCACAGGACCCCGCCUCCCACGCUGGACCUCCUUGCCGCCCGCACAACGCUAUUACUCCACGCACGCAUGGCCAAACUUCCUCAUAGGGGUGCGUAGGUGUGUCGUUCCGGCAGACCUAUUUUUUGGUGCUACGUCGACAUGCUAGGCCACGCUUCAUCUUCGACUGGCUCAACCUCCACGGCACGGCGUAGCCGCGCAGGCUACAAUCCGCCCAAGCGCCGGGAUGUGCAAGGCGUUCUGGGGCGUGCGUACGCCGACUA
Long non-coding RNA from Triticum dicoccoides, 679 nucleotides. RefSeq lists it as uncharacterized. The record is from RefSeq and is a predicted model, not a curated record. Lineage: Eukaryota; Viridiplantae; Streptophyta; Magnoliopsida; Poales; Poaceae. The transcript is spliced from 3 exons.